This 549-nucleotide long non-coding RNA is filed under the name Sus scrofa (pig). RNAcentral's name for it is "lncRNA (ENSSSCG00035071215.1)". Lineage: Eukaryota; Metazoa; Chordata; Mammalia; Artiodactyla; Suidae. The record is from RNAcentral.
AUGAGAAGAGCCGCCAGCUCCACGGAGGAGGGGAGGUUUCAUGUCCUCUGUGAUUGCAGCCCUCGGCUCCAGCAUUGGAAGCACAGCAGAAAAUCAGAUUUUUGGUCUGGAUCCAAAACAGAAAUAUGACACCCCAUAUACGGUCAGUGUGUAUGUGUUUCUCUAAAAGAAUCACUUAACCUAAUUUUCUGAGCAUCAACUCCAAAUGCCAUGUAGACCAAGUGGAAAAAAAAAAAAUUCACCCAAGUACAAAGGGGAGCUCUUGCUCUUCACCUUAAACAGCCCAUGAAGCUUUUUAGCAAUUGACGGGUUCCUCUCCCUCUCGCUGCUCUGUUCUCUAAGCCCGCAGGAAGGAAGAUCUCCUGGAAAAAUGUCCUUGUGGUGUUAGGGCGAGGACGGUGGGGUCAUGGGGAUGUGAGCCUCGGCUGACAACUCAGGAGAAAGGGACACUUGUCGGUGGCCUCUGAGGACCGCUCCCAGGCACUGCUAAAGAUCACAGGGUCUGGGAUAGGGUAGGGGUCCAGGCAGCUGCAAACGCCUGCACAUCAU